Lathyrus oleraceus (garden pea) is the source of this 341-nucleotide long non-coding RNA. RefSeq lists it as uncharacterized. Lineage: Eukaryota; Viridiplantae; Streptophyta; Magnoliopsida; Fabales; Fabaceae. The transcript has 3 exons. The record is from RefSeq and is a predicted model, not a curated record.
GUGAUGAGUGAGCUUUGAGAAUUGUUCCUUUUUGAUUGAAGAGUGAUGUAUGUUUAUAUAGUUUGGAAGCCGUAAUCGAGUCGGGUAGCUCGGGUAGAAUGGUUAAGGCAGAGCAAUUGCACUUGGGGUUGGUUACGGGAUGCGAUUAAGUUUGUGAAUCAGAAGGAAAAUAGAUUGGUUAUGUUGAUUUGGACUAAAACAGGUUUUAGUUGCCUAGUUAUUCGCAGCUUUGGAUUUUUCUGCUAUGCAUAUGCUGCUGUUGGGCAUUGCCUUGCUUGAAUAUUUGAAAUCGAUUUCUGGAACUGCUGUUGGAUUAUUGAUGCAAGAUUAUGGAUGUUGGC